UGUUCAGGGGCGGGAAUCGAACCCACAACGUUCCGCUUACCGGGCAGAUGCCAUGUCCACUAGGCUACCCUGGU
Cordylochernes scorpioides is the source of this 74-nucleotide non-coding RNA. Lineage: Eukaryota; Metazoa; Arthropoda; Arachnida; Pseudoscorpiones; Chernetidae. The record is from the annotation of a GenBank genome assembly.